UACGUAGGGUGCAAGCGUUAAUCGGAAUUACUGGGCGUAAAGCGUAUGCAGGCGGACUUUUAAGUCGGGGGUGAAAUCCCGAGGCUCAACCUCGGAACUGCCUUCGAUACUGGAAGUCUUGAGUCCGGGAGAGGUGAGUGGAACUCCGAGUGUAGAGGUGAAAUUCGUAGAUAUUCGGAAGAACACCAGUGGCGAAGGCGGCUCACUGGCCCGGUACUGACGCUGAGAUACGAAAGCGUGGGGAGCAAACAGG
RNAcentral lists this ribosomal RNA (253 nucleotides) under uncultured bacterium. RNAcentral's name for it is "partial 16S ribosomal RNA". It matches the Rfam family "Bacterial small subunit ribosomal RNA", at positions 524 to 776 of the family's 1533-position model. The record is from RNAcentral.